Molecule: microRNA, 21 nt
Filed under: Alligator mississippiensis (American alligator)
Lineage: Eukaryota; Metazoa; Chordata; Crocodylia; Alligatoridae
Description: ami-miR-1306-5p
Source: miRBase by way of RNAcentral
CACCUCCCCUGCAAACGUCCA